This is a long non-coding RNA of Miniopterus natalensis, 624 nucleotides long. RefSeq lists it as uncharacterized. NCBI's taxonomy places the organism in Eukaryota, Metazoa, Chordata, Mammalia, Chiroptera, Miniopteridae. The record is from RefSeq and is a predicted model, not a curated record.
UGCUGACAGGAUCCUGGAGCACUGAGGGACACAAUUGGAAACACUGGUUUUAUUACCAAGACUUUGGAAAGUCACGUUUGAGAAUAUGCAAAGAAUCAUGUGUGACCAGUUUUACGGACUUUUAAUAAAGCCCCUUGGAAAAGCCACCUGGUACCUUGCUUGUAGGUUUGCUGGCAGCCUUACCAGGCCUAACUUUGGGAGCCCACCUGCAACACCACUUCCUAAAAUGAGACACAGCCAUUGAACUGACCUAUUCUCAAGAGACUGGUUCAAGGAAAUAAUUCAGCUAUCGACUCAGCUGCUGGACUGUGAAACUCCUUUAAAGUUUCAAAGGUAAGACUGAAAGGGGGCAGAACACACCACCCCAGAAUAUGCCGCUUUGGCAUAAGGAUUUUUUUCAGCUGAUCAUUGUUUAGAAACAGCAGACACAGGAAAAGCUCUGAAAUGUAGAAGUAGUGACCCUUUCAUGGGGGAAAUUAACAUUUAUGAGAGAAGUAUCCAUUUGUAAGGGUGUCUCCCUCUCUAUACCUGCAGAAGGAUGACUCUAAAUUCCAAGAAACUCAUCAAUGGAGAAGGUGCCAACUUUAAUCUGCGAAACCACCUUACCCUUGUUUACUGUGCUUU